Non-coding RNA from Pteropus alecto (black flying fox), 74 nucleotides. NCBI's taxonomy places the organism in Eukaryota, Metazoa, Chordata, Mammalia, Chiroptera, Pteropodidae. The record is from Rfam.
AGCUCCAUAGUGUAGCGGUUAACACGUCUGCUUUACACUCAGAAGGUCUUGGGUUCGCGCCCCAGGUGGAGCCA